UACGUAGGGUGCGAGCGUUAAUCGGAAUUACUGGGCGUAAAGCGUGCGCAGGCGGUUUUGUAAGACAGAGGUGAAAUCCCCGGGCUCAACCUGGGAACUGCCUUUGUGACUGCAAGGCUUGAGUGCGGCAGAGGGGGAUGGAAUUCCGCGUGUAGCAGUGAAAUGCGUAGAUAUGCGGAGGAACACCGAUGGCGAAGGCAAUCCCCUGGGCCUGCACUGACGCUCAUGCACGAAAGCGUGGGGAGCAAACAGGAUUAGAUACCCUGGUAGUCCACGCCCUAAACGAUGUCAACUGGUUGUUGGACGGCUUGCUGUUCAGUAACGUAGCUAACGCGUGAAGUUGACCGCCUGGGGAGUACGGCCGCAAGGUUGAA
Molecule: ribosomal RNA, 374 nt
Filed under: uncultured bacterium
Lineage: Bacteria
Description: bacterial SSU rRNA
Rfam family: Bacterial small subunit ribosomal RNA
Source: RNAcentral